This 254-nucleotide ribosomal RNA is filed under the name uncultured bacterium. Its description in RNAcentral is "partial 16S ribosomal RNA". It matches the Rfam family "Bacterial small subunit ribosomal RNA", at positions 524 to 776 of the family's 1533-position model. The record is from RNAcentral.
UACGGAGGGGGCUAGCGUUGUUCGGAAUUACUGGGCGUAAAGGGCGCGUAGGCGGCGCGAUAAGUUGGGCGUGAAAGGCCCGGGCUCAACCCGGGGACUGCGCUUGAUACUGUCGCGCUGUGAGUCCGGGAGAGGAUGGCGGAAUUCCCAGUGUAGAGAUGAAAUUCGUAGAUAUUGGGAAGAACACCGGUGGCGAAGGCGGCCACCUGGACCGGCACUGACGCUGAGGCGCGAAAGCGUGGGGAGCAAACAGG